UGCGUCUGCUUGUUGUGCAGGAUUAGAACCUGUGGGUUCGAGCCGAGCGGCGUAGCUGCGACGCACUGUUAGCGCGUAGCGAUAACAGCCCAAGUGGAAGGAGCGUAGCGACGCAUUAUCCUGUACAACCCAUCA
Molecule: small RNA, 135 nt
Filed under: Motiliproteus coralliicola
Lineage: Bacteria; Pseudomonadati; Pseudomonadota; Gammaproteobacteria; Oceanospirillales; Oceanospirillaceae
Description: RtT sRNA
Rfam family: RtT RNA
About the family: This family represents a bacterial cis-regulatory element known as RtT RNA. The exact function of RtT is unknown although it is thought that it may be involved in changing the cellular response in relation to amino acid starvation.
Source: RNAcentral